This 4461-nucleotide long non-coding RNA is filed under the name Sus scrofa (pig). Its description in RNAcentral is "lncRNA (ENSSSCG00025026523.1)". The record is from RNAcentral. Lineage: Eukaryota; Metazoa; Chordata; Mammalia; Artiodactyla; Suidae.
AACUCAGUAGAUAGAGUGUUUAGUACAACUAAGGAAAGCAAAGUGGGGUGAGGGAAGAGGGAGCAGGGCGUCUCUGAGACCAGAAGGAAGUGCAGGCCUGCAGUGUCUGUGACAAGUCCAGCCCAGGAAGGAUCAGGUUCAGGUCAGGGCGGCUGCACAGAGCGGGUCCGUGGGUGCGCUAAGCCUGCUGGGAAGCCAUUGGCUGGUUUUUGAGCGAGGAGUGGUUCUGGGCUGACACGAGUGCCCCCUGCUGGCGGGGAGCAACCGUGAAGCCCAGAGAGCCGCGCACGGAGGCUGCUGAAGUCAUCCAGAUUCAUCCCAUCACCUAAAACCUGGUAACAGUGGGCCACACAGAGUCUUACUGGUGAAAACCCUCAGCGAAGAUGUCAAGCAAAACAGCCAGCACCAACAACAUCGCGCAGGCAAGGAGGACGGUGCAGCAGCUAAGGAUGGAAGCUUCCAUUGAAAGAAUAAAGGUUUCCAAGGCAUCAGCGGACCUCAUGUCCUACUGCGAGGAACAUGCCAGAAAUGACCCUCUGCUGAUGGGGAUACCAACUUCAGAAAACCCUUUCAAGGAUAAGAAAACCUGCAUCAUCUUAUAGAGGAGAAGUCAAGCAGUCCCGCCCCACGUCCCAACAAAGCAAAUUGUGAGCAGCUCCUUAAAAAGAUUUACCUUCGGCUUAUUUGGUAACCACUGCUAAUCACUAAAAUGCUCUUAGCUUGGAAUCAUCGACUCUGAAGUCUUUAUUUUCCAAGUUGUCCUUGCUCUAAAAUACCCUUUACUGAAUUAAUACAAAAUAGCAGUCUCGUUUUCCCUUUGGUAACUAGUGUGUCAUAUGGGGUGACUGCUGAAGGAAAGUUGAUCUGGCCUUUUCAAAAACACCAUUAAAAUAUAUGAGUGAUCCAGUUAAGACCCCAAUUACCUGAGCAUCCGUCUAGAUUAAAAUGCCAAGACAACUUAAGGCCUAAAACCUUUCUAUCAUCGCGUGUUCUUAAUAGGGUUGUGCCAAUCUGUACAGUAUACAUGGGUGAGGAGUGUUGUGUAUAUAUAUUUGUGUGUUUGUAUAUACACAUCUCAAAGCUUAUUUCCGUACUGAAAUGUCUCUCUCUCCAUACCAUCUGUUCCUCAGCUCCAAAGCUAUACCUUGAUCGUGAGCUGUGUGUCGGUGGAAUUAAAUUCUUUGCUUGUAGUAACUGUGCACAAAGUCAAGAACUCCCUUACGAUUGUGUGCAUUGUAAUUGAGUAAUGAAGUCAUCUCUCUCCUCUUGAAAUCUUGCUGACCUCCUAGGCUACAAUAAACUGUGCCAAUUAAAAUGUUAAAACCUGAGCUAAAAGCCCUUUUAUAAUAGGAGGUAUGAAUUCACCAAGGGCUUUCAGGCUUCAGUGAUCCUGAGUCUAGAAAAGGGGAGGAGGCCCUUGGGUGGUACCCAGGGCCCAUAGUCUCGGGAUCAGGGGUAGACACAUCUGAAAUUUCCGCUCUCUAACCACGGGAACGAGACAGAGCAGCCUUGAGCCCGGCCGAGAGGGGAGCAGGAAUGCGUGGAAACCAGCUGCUCUCUGUGAUUUAGCUCACGUUCUCUGCCUCCCUGUAUCUUUCCUCUGCUGCCAGAACGUCUGUCUUCAGAGGUCAUCUUCACCUCCCCAAGUGGGUAGAAGGUGAUGGGGCAGAAACACCCAAUGAACGUAAAAGUAUCAAGACACUUAGGCUCUUUUCACAAACUGGUAGCAUCAGCCCCACCCUUACCUUUUCCACGCAACAUCCAAGAGGAUUGGAUUCAUUCAGUGGUUCACUACUUGGGUCCACAGGCUCCAGCAGCUGGUGUCGGGUUCCUUGAUUUCCUCUGGGCAUGAAGCCUGCCCCCACACAUGCACAGCAUUUGCAGCGGGGAUCCCAAAAGAAGGCAUCUCCUAUGGCCAAGAGGCUAUGUUAACUUUACCAGAGAGGAAGAGAGGGUCUUUAUUUUCAAUGCUCACUUACAUUCCCAAACCGUACACUCAGCCUUUGAUGUUAAGUCAGCGUCAGCUCGUUAAAAAUAAUGAUGGAUUAAAACCUUGUUCUCAAAAAGGAGUCAACCCCAAGAAGGAGUUAUGUACCAUGGUUUUCCCUAGUUCUGGACAAUCCAGCCCCGUGGCACAAGCCCCCUUCUCACAUUUGGGCUUUGAGUAUUAGGUUCAUUGCAGGCAAAUGCAACACUGGUUUUAAACUGCUCAAAUAUAGUCCGUAUUUUUCCCAGUCACCUAUCUACUCAGCAUUGUGAACCACCCUGCCUCGUCCAAGACCAUGUGAAAAUCACACCACCGCCCUUACACACUUGUCACCUACCCUUUGGUUCUGCAAUACAUCCAGUUUCCAAGGAAAUCACAGGCACCUGUUGCAGAGAGAAAGGUUUUUUUUUUUUUUUCCCUCUUUCCAAAGGUGAGAUCUGAAAUGCACAUUAAAGUGACAACUUUACAUUUAAUGCUUCACAUAAUGAGACAUGCUUUUUAAAAUAUUUUUCUAGCAGUAGUUUUAGAACACUAAUCUUAUUUUCUCUCUGAUUUUUACCAUGUUUCCUUAAAUAUUUAUAAUGCAGCUUGUUACAAAAUAUUGUCGUGAAAUUGCUUUUAUUAUACUGGUAUGCACACAUGUUUGGUAGCAAGCAUAGUUUAUCCUUUAGUCCUAAAACACGUUCUUUUACCUAACAGAAAAUAAGUAUGUUUUGCUAUAUAUUUGUUAGUAUGCUUGUAGUGCUAAGGAGUGGACUUGAGGUCCCAGGAGAGUUCACUUUUAUUUUUGCUGGCCAGAUAGAGUAAAGGCUCUGAGCACGAGCAGCUUGUAACUUCCUAACCAGGUAUAGGUCACGUUCAAGCAAAGUGAAAUGAAAUCCUUUGAUGCUGUAGCCAAGGGGGAAAAAAUUGGAGUUAAAUGUUGAUUUACUUAUAACUAGAUGUCUAUGUGAAAAAAAUAUAAUAUAUAUAUAUAUACACACAUAUAUAUAUGAUACACAGAAGUCACUUUUAUUUAUCAGGCUUUAUUCUACUCAUGAAGCCACAGUUAAACUGUUCUGCAGCAGCUGGUUUUUGAUGCUGAUGGACACGUCCAGGAUGUGUUAUUUUUUUCCCACUACCACUGUAAUGACACAUGUAAUCACUUUUGUACAUGCAGCUUCUUGGCUUCAUAGCUAUGAAGCUAUUGAAACAUGUUCACUAUCCUUAGUCUUUAAUGCUGCUUUGGUUAAAAGUGAUCUUUUUCUCUUCUGACAUCUUCAUUAGCUCAUCAUAAUGCUGUCCAUUUGAGGCCUCAGGCCCAUAGCAAGAUACGCUAAGCAGCAUUCCAUGACUCCAAAGUAUUUUACAGAAACACUUUUAAAAAAAAAAUAGAGAAACCCUUUCUAUAUGAGGUGGUUCACAAACUAGAGGUUGUAGUUACUUUUUUUCCUAAAAAGAAUCAGGUGUCUAACCUGUCCUUCCCGUACCAAAAUGAAAAGGGCCAUGUGUACCCUUUAAAGAAAAGACCUGAUUUGCUCUUUAUUUGCACUAUUUUUGUACUUUACUCAUCUUAAACCAUCAGGAAAAAAAAAAAAAUCACACCCAUGAUUUAGUAAUUUGGAGGCAUAGGUUAACUGAAGUCGUGAAGGAUGUGCCACACUUGCCCUUCAGAUGCCUUCUUCUUGACCAAUUUGCAGCUAAGAUCGUGUCAUCUGAGUGGUUACUCCCCAUUUUGAUAAGAUGUAUAUAGACCCAAGAAGUGAAUCACAGUACGUGUCAGUCCUUUCUCAAUAAAUCUAAUACCAGAGUGUUUAUAACUUGUAUUGACUUCUUUUAUGGUAGAGCUGUUAAUAGGGAAAAAAAAAUACAUUGAAUCAAAUAGAAUUAUCUGUAUGUGAACAUAGAGCACUUACCUAGAGCUGGGUGGCCUGGGGCAUCAUUGUCUAGCCAAUCCUGGGGCCCUGUGCUGUGUGACUUUGGACAAGGCAUGUCAUCCCUCUGGGCCUCCCAUUUCACCAUCUGUAAAGCAAGGGGCUUAAAGUAGAUAAUGGCUGAGAUCCUUCUGUUCCGUCCAACGGCCUACCCCCCCCUCUGCUGGUCCUGCCAACAUGUUGGUGCUAUAAGCUGCUUCAAGUAGAAAAUUGGUUUGUCUAUUGUGUUGUGCUCAUUUAAUAGCUUAGGAAAGGCAUUUUUGUUAUAUGGCUUGUUUUCUAGUUUUAUGGACUUGAUUACUGUAAUAAUGUCUUGUUUGUAGCCAUGUAACUAUAAACAUGUAGUCUCUUGAUGUCUCAGUAAAUUUGCAUUUGAUGUAAUAGUUGAUGGGGUUGUUGUUUUAUAACAUUCUUUGGCUCCUCAUCUGUCCAGCCUCUUAUUAACCUAAACAUUGUGAUCAUUGUUUGGAAAUCUGUUCUGUGGAAAGAAUAAAAGCAUUUACUUCACGGCUAAUGUGUUCACAGAUUUGAAAGACGUUUCAUUAAAGCACCAUUGCUCCC